This 377-nucleotide unclassified non-coding RNA is filed under the name uncultured Parachlamydiaceae bacterium. RNAcentral describes it as "contains 16S-23S intergenic spacer region". Lineage: Bacteria; Pseudomonadati; Chlamydiota; Chlamydiia; Parachlamydiales; Parachlamydiaceae. The record is from RNAcentral.
UCCCGGUUAACCCGGGCAGUCUCAUUAGAGUUCCCACCUUAAAUGUUGGCAACUAAUGACAAGGGUUGCGCUCGUUGCUGGACUUAACCAAACACCUCACGGCACGAGCUGACGACAGCCAUGCAGCACCUGUGCACCGGCCCCGAAGGGAGACGCCAUUUCUGGCGCUGUCCAGUGCAUGUCAAGUCUGGGUAAGGUUCUUCGCGUUGCAUCGAAUUAAACCACAUGCUCCACUGCUUGUGCGGGUCCCCGUCAAUUCUUUUGAGUUUCAGCCUUGCGACUGUACUCCCCAGGCGGUAUACUUAACGCGUUCGCUACGGCACAACCGGGGUUGAGUCCAGUUACACCAAGUAUACAUAGUUUAGGGCAAGGACUAC